This 254-nucleotide ribosomal RNA is filed under the name uncultured bacterium. Its description in RNAcentral is "partial 16S ribosomal RNA". It matches the Rfam family "Bacterial small subunit ribosomal RNA", at positions 524 to 777 of the family's 1533-position model. The record is from RNAcentral.
UACGUAGGGCGCAAGCGUUGUCCGGAAUCACUGGGCGUAAAGGGUGCGUAGGCGGGUUUUUAAGUCAGGGGUGAAAUCCUGGAGCUCAACUCCAGAACUGCCUUUGAUACUGAAGAUCUUGAGUUCGGGAGAGGUGAGUGGAACUGCGAGUGUAGAGGUGAAAUUCGUAGAUAUUCGCAAGAACACCAGUGGCGAAGGCGGCUCACUGGCCCGAUACUGACGCUGAGGCACGAAAGCGUGGGGAGCAAACAGGG